Long non-coding RNA from Pygocentrus nattereri (red-bellied piranha), 517 nucleotides. RefSeq lists it as uncharacterized. The transcript is spliced from 3 exons. NCBI's taxonomy places the organism in Eukaryota, Metazoa, Chordata, Actinopteri, Characiformes, Serrasalmidae. The record is from RefSeq and is a predicted model, not a curated record.
CACAGAAGACAUUCAGUUGGAUAGAGUGGAGUGUCUAAAGUUCAAGUCUGGAUUACAAAGCUUCUGAAAGGGAUAUGACCGCACUGGAGCUCUCAUUAUUACGGCACAACACUGCCCUUACAGGAGAAGUGAAGGGAAAACAGCAUUCCUAAUAUGGGCAAGACACCGACUGCGGACUGAUGCCAACACCUCGCAGGUCUACAGUGGGUUUUAACUCAUCAGCACUUUACUGGUCUCUCCGGUGGGGCUGAUGUUGGGAUGCGGGAUGACUGAUGGCCCGAGGAGACAGGGCUGUAUCUGCAGUAACGGUGAUGAGAUGAGCUCCAUCAGACCUCAGCUCAACCACCAACGUGGAGACAGGGUCUUAAUGAUGCAGUCAAAUACUAGAGUUACAACGUGGGAAUCCCAUUUAAAUGAAGGGCUGCUAUUGCUACUGACCAUCUACAGGCCUUUAACACCUCCAUGGGUGAAACCAGGGGUGCCAAUAUCUUCGAUGCAUUGUCAGAAGUAGCAGUCG